AGGACGAACGCUGGCGGCGUGCUUAACACAUGCAAGUCGAGCGAGGCCCUUCCUUCGGGAAGGUGCCCUAGCGGCGAACGGGUGAGUAACACGUGGGCAACCUGCCCCUAGCACUGGGAUAACUCCGGGAAACCGGGGCUAAUACCGGAUAUCACCUUUGAGGGCAUCCUCUUUGGUUGAAAGGAUUCUGGCUAGGGAUGGGCCCGCGGCCUAUCAGCUUGUUGGUGGGGUAAUGGCCUACCAAGGCGACG
Molecule: ribosomal RNA, 251 nt
Filed under: uncultured bacterium
Lineage: Bacteria
Description: partial small subunit ribosomal RNA
Rfam family: Bacterial small subunit ribosomal RNA
Source: RNAcentral